AUGCCUAGCGACAAGGUGUCUGGGCCGGAUGGCUUCACCGGCCUCUUCUUCAAAAAGUGUUGGGGCAUCAUCAAGCACGACCUCAUGAGGGUGAUUCAACGCUUUGACUCCCUCCACACAACAAACCUACACUGGCUCAACUAUGCGAAUAUUGUGUUGCUUCCCAAGAAGGAUGGGGGGAGAGCAUCGUUGACUUUAGGCCCAUUAGCCUCAUCCAUGCAAUCGCCAAGAUCAUCGCGAAGGUGCUCGCUAUCCGGCUUGGCCCGCACAUGUCCGCCCUCGUCUCCAACGCUCAAAGUGCGUUCAUCAAAAUGCGGAGCAUCCACGACAACUUCAUGUAUGUUAGAAACCUUGCGCGUCGCCUGCAGAGCAAGACUCCCUCUCUUAUAUUCAAGCUAG
RNAcentral lists this ribosomal RNA (399 nucleotides) under Triticum aestivum (bread wheat). RNAcentral describes it as "partial small subunit ribosomal RNA". The record is from RNAcentral. Lineage: Eukaryota; Viridiplantae; Streptophyta; Magnoliopsida; Poales; Poaceae.